UCGUGUCGUGAGAUGUUGGGUUAAGUCCCGCAACGAGCGCAACCCUUAUUGUUAGUUGCUACCAUUUAGUUGAGCACUCUAGCGAGACUGCCCGGGUUAACCGGGAGGAAGGUGGGGAUGACGUCAAAUCAUCAUGCCCCUUAUGUCUAGGGCUACACACGUGCUACAAUGGCUGGUACAGAGAGAUGCUAAACCGCGAGGUGGAGCCAAACUUUAAAACCAGUCUCAGUUCGGAUUGUAGGCUGAAACUCGCCUACAUGAAGCUGGAGUUGCUAGUAAUCGCGAAUCAGAAUGUCGCGGUGAAUACGUUCCCGGGCCUUGUACACACCGCCCGUCACACCAUGAGAGUUGGCAAUACCCAAAGUUCGUGAGCUAACCCGUAAGGGAGGCAGCGACCUAAGGUAGGGUCAGCGAUUGGGGUGAAGUCGUAACAAGGUAGCCGUAGGAGAACCUGCGGUUGGAUCACCUC
RNAcentral lists this ribosomal RNA (469 nucleotides) under uncultured bacterium. Its description in RNAcentral is "bacterial SSU rRNA". It matches the Rfam family "Bacterial small subunit ribosomal RNA", at positions 1060 to 1529 of the family's 1533-position model. The record is from RNAcentral.